GAUGAACGCUGGCGGCGUGCCUAAUACAUGCAAGUCGAGCGAACAGACGAGGAGCUUGCUCCUCUGACGUUAGCGGCGGACGGGUGAGUAACACGUGGAUAACCUACCUAUAAGACUGGGAUAACUUCGGGAAACCGGAGCUAAUACCGGAUAACAUGUUGAACCGCAUGGUUCAACAGUGAAAGACGGUCUUGCUGUCACUUAUAGAUGGAUCCGCGCCGCAUUAGCUAGUUGGUAAGGUAACGGCUUACCAAGGCAACGAUGCGUAGCCGACCUGAGAGGGUGAUCGGCCACACUGGAACUGAGACACGGUCCAGACUCCUACGGGAGGCAGCAGUAGGGAAUCUUCCGCAAUGGCGAAAGCCUGACGGAGCAACGCCGCGUGAGUGAAGAAGGUCUUCGGAUCGUAAAACUCUGUUAUUAGGGAAGAACAAAUGUGUAAGUAACUAUGCACGUCUUGACGGUACCUAAUCAGAAAGCCACGGCUAACUACGUG
RNAcentral lists this ribosomal RNA (496 nucleotides) under uncultured bacterium. RNAcentral describes it as "partial 16S ribosomal RNA". It matches the Rfam family "Bacterial small subunit ribosomal RNA", at positions 28 to 507 of the family's 1533-position model. The record is from RNAcentral.